GAUGAAGAACGUAGCGAAAUGCGAUAAGUAAUGCGAAUUGCAGAAUUCAGUGAGUCAUCGAAUCUUUGAACGCACAUUGCGCCCUGUGGUAUUCCGCAGGGCAUGCCUGUUCGAGCGUCACAAAACCCAAUCACACCUGAUGUGGUCGUGGCGGGAGCGAAUAUGCCCGUGGACGUUCGCUCCGCUGAAAUGAAUGGUGCAGGCGGAGUCCCGAUGAUCGAACGUGGUACUCUAUAUUCGUCCGAUCAUUGGACUUCUGACCUUGCCCUGAUGAUGGGAGAUCUCCCAUAUCCCACUCUUGAAGGUUGACCUCGAAUCAGGUAGGGAUACCCGCUGAACUUAAGCAUAUCAAUAAGCGGAGGA
RNAcentral lists this unclassified non-coding RNA (363 nucleotides) under soil metagenome. Its description in RNAcentral is "partial contains 5.8S ribosomal RNA, internal transcribed spacer 2, and large subunit ribosomal RNA". The stretch from base 1 to 120 matches the Rfam family "5.8S ribosomal RNA", at positions 35 to 154 of the family's 154-position model. The record is from RNAcentral.